Molecule: ribosomal RNA, 518 nt
Filed under: uncultured Prevotella sp.
Lineage: Bacteria; Pseudomonadati; Bacteroidota; Bacteroidia; Bacteroidales; Prevotellaceae
Description: partial 16S ribosomal RNA
Source: RNAcentral
CACGGAAUUAGCCGGUCCUUAUUCAUGCGGUACCUGCAAAAAGGGACGCGUCCCUCACUUUAUCCCCGCAUAAAAGCAGUUUACAACCCGUAGGGCCGUCAUCCUGCACGCUACUUGGCUGGUUCAGGCUUCCGCCCAUUGACCAAUAUUCCUCACUGCUGCCUCCCGUAGGAGUUUGGACCGUGUCUCAGUUCCAAUGUGGGGGACCUUCCUCUCAGAACCCCUACUGAUCGUCGCCUUGGUGGGCCGUCGCCCCGCCAACUAGCUAAUCAGACGCAUCCCCCUCCGUUACCGACGGAUCUUUGCUUCGAAUCUGAUGCCGUCAUCGAAGAACAUGCGGUAUUAGUCUGCCUUUCGGCAGGUUACUCCCGCAGUAACGGGAAGGUUGGAUACGCGUUACUCACCGUGCGCCGGUCGACGUCCAUUCAGUGCAAGCACUCAAUGCCCGUUUCCCUCGACUUGCUAUGUGUUAACGCCUGUAGCCAGCGUUCAUCCGUGAGCCAGGAUCAAACUCUACG